RNAcentral lists this ribosomal RNA (429 nucleotides) under Gemmatimonadota bacterium. Its description in RNAcentral is "Gemmatimonadetes bacterium partial 16S ribosomal RNA". It matches the Rfam family "Bacterial small subunit ribosomal RNA", at positions 355 to 776 of the family's 1533-position model. The record is from RNAcentral. Lineage: Bacteria; Pseudomonadati; Gemmatimonadota.
UAGGGAAUCUUCGGCAAUGGACGAAAGUCUGACCGAGCAACGCCGCGUGAGUGAAGAAGGUUUUCGGAUCGUAAAACUCUGUUGUUAGAGAAGAACAAGGACGUUAGUAACUGAACGUCCCCUGACGGUAUCUAACCAGAAAGCCACGGCUAACUACGUGCCAGCAGCCGCGGUAAUACGUAGGUGGCAAGCGUUGUCCGGAUUUAUUGGGCGUAAAGCGAGCGCAGGCGGUUUCUUAAGUCUGAUGUGAAAGCCCCCGGCUCAACCGGGGAGGGUCAUUGGAAACUGGGAGACUUGAGUGCAGAAGAGGAGAGUGGAAUUCCAUGUGUAGCGUUGAAAUGCGUAAAUAUAUGGAGGAACACCAGUGGCGAAGGCGGCUCUCUGGUCUGUAACUGACGCUGAGGCUCGAAAGCGUGGGGAGCAAACAGG